RNAcentral lists this ribosomal RNA (245 nucleotides) under Bacillus pumilus. RNAcentral describes it as "partial 16S ribosomal RNA". It matches the Rfam family "Bacterial small subunit ribosomal RNA", at positions 1189 to 1439 of the family's 1533-position model. The record is from RNAcentral. Lineage: Bacteria; Bacillati; Bacillota; Bacilli; Caryophanales; Bacillaceae.
CCCUUCGCUACCUAUGGUAGGGGGGAUGCAUGCUUCACAGCACAUAACAAGGGCUGCAGGACCGGAAGGUUUCCCAAUCCCAUAAAUCUGUUCUCAGUUCGGAUCGCAGUCUGCAACUCGACUGCGUGAAGCUGGAAUCGCUAGUAAUCGCGGAUCAGCAUGCCGCGGUGAAUACGUUCCCGGGCCUUGUACACACCGCCCGUCACACCACGAGAGUUUGCAACACCCGAAGUCGGUGAGGUAAC